Molecule: ribosomal RNA, 287 nt
Filed under: uncultured bacterium
Lineage: Bacteria
Description: partial 16S ribosomal RNA
Rfam family: Bacterial small subunit ribosomal RNA
Source: RNAcentral
GACGAACGCUGGCGGCGUGCUUAACACAUGCAAGUCGAGCGGUAAGGCCCUUUCGGGGGUACGACGAGCGGCGAACGGGUGAGUAACACGUGGGUGGACCUGCCCUCCAGCUCUGGGAGUAAGCCUCGGGAAACCGGGUACUAAUACUGGAUAUGACUCCAUGACGCAUGUUGUGGGGUGGAAAGCCUUGUGCGGCUGAGGAUGGGCCCGCGGCCUAUCAGCUUGUUGGUGGGGUGAGGCCUACCAAGGCGACGACGGGUAGCCGGCCUGAGAGGGCGACCGGCCAC